GUCGAGGGGCAGCAUUUUAGUUUGCUUGCAAACUGAAGAUGGCGACCGGCGCACGGGUGAGUAACACGUAUCCAACCUGCCGAUAACUCCGGGAUAGCCUUUCGAAAGAAAGAUUAAUAYCSGAUGGCAUACUAAUAUCGCAUGAUAUUUUUAUUAAAGAAUUUCGGUUAUCGAUGGGGAUGCGUUCCAUUAGUUUGUUGGCGGGGUAACGGCCCACCAAGACAACGAUGGAUAGGGGUUCUGAGAGGAAGGUCCCCCACAUUGGAACUGAGACACGGUCCAAACUCCUACGGGAGGCAGCAGUGAGGAAUAUUGGUCAAUGGGCGAGAGCCUGAACCAGCCAAGUAGCGUGAAGGAUGAAUGCUCUAUGGGUCGUAAACUUCUUUUAUAUGGGAAUAAAGUAUUCCACGUGUGGAAUUUUGUAUGUACCAUAUGAAUAAGGAUCGGCUAACUCCGUGCCAGCAGCCGCGGUAAUACGGAGGAUCCGAGCGUUAUCCGGAUUUAUUGGGUUUAAAGGGAGCGUAGGUGGAUUGUUAAGUCAGUUGUGAAAGUUUGCGGCUCAACCGUAAAAUUGCAGUUGAAACUGGCAGUCUUGAGUACAGUAGAGGUGGGCGGAAUUCGUGGUGUAGCGGUGAAAUGCUUAGAUAUCACGAAGAACUCCGAUUGCGAAGGCAGCUCACUAGACUGUCACUGACACUGAUGCUCGAAAGUGUGGGUAUCAAACAGGAUUAGAUACCCUGGUAGUCCACACAGUAAACGAUGAAUACUCGCUGUUUGCGAUAUACAGUAAGCGGCCAAGCGAAAGCAUUAAGUAUUCCACCUGGGGAGUACGCCGGCAACGGUGAAACUCAAAGGAAUUGACGGGGGCCCGCACAAGCGGAGGAACAUGUGGUUUAAUUCGAUGAUAC
This 908-nucleotide ribosomal RNA is filed under the name bacterium IARFR2087. RNAcentral's name for it is "bacterial SSU rRNA". It matches the Rfam family "Bacterial small subunit ribosomal RNA", at positions 61 to 960 of the family's 1533-position model. The record is from RNAcentral.